UCCAGACUCCUACGGGAGGCAGCAGUCGGGAAUAUUGCGCAAUGGAGGAAACUCUGACGCAGUGACGCCGCGUGCAGGAAGAAGGUUUUCGGAUUGUAAACUGCUUUAGACAGGGAAGAAAGAAAUGACGGUACCUGUAGAAUAAGCUCCGGCUAAAUACGUGCCAGCAGCCGCGGUAAUACGUAUGGAGCAAGCGUUAUCCGGAUUUACUGGGUGUAAAGGGAGCGUAGACGGCAGCACAAGUCUGGAGUGAAAUGCCGGGGCUUAACCCCGGAACUGCUUUGGAAACUGUGCAGCUAGAGUGCAGGAGAGGUAAGUGGAAUUCCUAGUGUAGCGGUGAAAUGCGUAGAUAUUAGGAGGAACACCAGUGGCGAAGGCGGCUUACUGGACUGUAACUGACGUUGAGGCUCGAAAGCGUGGGGAGCAAACAGGAUUAGAUACCCCCGUAA
This 449-nucleotide ribosomal RNA is filed under the name uncultured bacterium. RNAcentral describes it as "bacterial SSU rRNA". It matches the Rfam family "Bacterial small subunit ribosomal RNA", at positions 330 to 793 of the family's 1533-position model. The record is from RNAcentral.